UACGUAGGGUGCAAGCGUUGUCCGGAAUUAUUGGGCGUAAAGAGCUCGUAGGCGGUUCGUCGCGUCGGCUGUGAAAUCCCGGAGCUCAACUCCGGGUCUGCAGUCGAUACGGGCGGACUCGAGUUCGGCAGGGGAGACUGGAAUUCCUGGUGUAGCGGUGAAAUGCGCAGAUAUCAGGAGGAACACCGGUGGCGAAGGCGGGUCUCUGGGCCGAUACUGACACUGAGGAGCGAAAGCGUGGGGAGCGAACAGG
Molecule: ribosomal RNA, 253 nt
Filed under: uncultured bacterium
Lineage: Bacteria
Description: partial 16S ribosomal RNA
Rfam family: Bacterial small subunit ribosomal RNA
Source: RNAcentral